UCCAAUUUUAAAAAAAGGUCAAGAGGACACUCUUGUUAAAUGUAAUACAGAGACAAAAAAGUAUUCCCCCUUAGACUGAAUGGCAGGAGUGAGCGUGAACAUGUAAAGACCUAUAGGAAAACGUUGGGGCUCCAAGAUCUGUCAGUGCAGCCUCUCCAGGAACGUUAAGUCUUUUUAUCUACAGUAGGGGGGAGUACAUUCAGCAUUAGUAAUAGCGGUAGACCAUGCUAUAAAGCACUUCUGGUAUAGAACCAAUUAUACUGUCAUAGUUGCCCUUGCCUCAUUUUAGUGAAACUAUUCCUCUCCAACCCAAUAAACCAAAUAAGAUAUCUGGGUAAAAUCACAGCUUUCUGGUAUUGCUCUGUCUAAAACAGGUACUUUUGCUACCUAGCUGUUUAGGUCAUGGAAUUGUAUGUCUUUACUCUCCCAACAUAGCAAUGCUGGCAGAAGUCAGUUAAGGUGGGCCUGGCCUAAGGGUGGGAUUUCCAAAAGAACCUAAGAGAAGAACCAGACUCCUAUCACAAGCCAGGAUACCAUUUGGAGGAAAUAGCAGAACUGAAAACUUGCAUCAAGAGGUAGAUCUCAGCUGAGAUACUGAGGUGCCCCUUUAAAGAUCCUUCGAUGGGUGAUAUGGCACCUGGCCCCUGUGCAAGGAGGUAAGUGCUGGCUCUGUAGCUGGUGGGAAGAGCUACAGGGGAGUCCCCAGAGGAGCAGCUGUAGCUAUGGGGGCUAUGCUGUCCCUCUAAGGGGAAAAUGCAGAAAAGAAAAAAAAAAUGAGCAGGCAUGGCAGGAUCCUGCCCUCACUUGGCACCUAUACCAAACUCUGCAUCCAGUGGCCCUUGUCACUCCCUUCCUCAUCUUGUAGGGAUAGCUACCUCCCUUAGGGGUCUAGUGACCCACCCCUGAACUCCCCAAUCUGCCACGCUGAGCAGUCCAUACCAUUGCUAAACGAGGUGAACCACCUCUGCCAUGCUCUGAAGGGUACCCUGCCCAUUGCUACUUGCCCUGCCACCCCAUGAGAUCCUUUUAAGGGUGCCACAGGGUGCGAGAAGGUGAGUGCUGCAGGAAAUAAAUUGAUUUUUGAAGGGGUGCCACUAUAUUCCAAAAAAUUAUGAAACGUGCCUCGAGUCUAAAAGGUUGAGAACCAUUGUUUUACACUGAACUCUACCGCCUUUAGAAAGAACUUUGGGCUCCUUACAUAUUUGGUUGUGAUGCUUGAUUUUGUUGAGUUUUUUGUCUUACACUGAUGUAGUAACAUUUCUGUUUUUGUAGAUGAGCACAGAAAAUGGUUCUCUGCUGGAGAAAAUGAAAGUACUUCAGAAAGCCACAGACAAUAAGUCUCCGAGGUGUUGUUUGACGUUAGCUGUCCACAAGAGUACAGAAACUCUAACAAUUUCCCAGUACAGUUCUUUUGACUGUGGAUCAGAAAGCACCCAUUGCUUUGAUAGCUGUCAUGCAGCUACAUGCAUUUCCAUGCAAUGUGUUGCUGGGACAACCUUAGUGGAGGAAGAUAUAAGCUGAAUGAAAGAAAUGUAUAACCAGCUGUAAGAACUGAGUUUGUAUUUGUUGUUAUGAAAAUAAAUGAAGGGGCCUGGAUACAAUUUUCCCACUGGAAAGUUCAUAGGGGAGUGAAACACAGCAAGGAGCUCAGCAAGUAUAGAACUAGAACAAUGACAAUUUGGUACAGCCAAUUGUGUUUAUAAAAGUCUGGGGAGAUAGGUAAAACGGUGAUUAUUUACAUGAUAAUGGUGACCAGUCCUAACAGGACUAUUUAUGUGAAAUGAAGUGGUGCACAUGUUUUGGAGCUCUUGGGAAGGACUCCUGAAACUGUUUCAGGUGUCUAGGGCCAGAGCUGUGUCCUUAGGUGUGUUUGGGCAACACUUGGCAGAAUGGGGCCUUGGUCUUUGGAGUCUCUUGAUUCCACACAACAGAAAAUGGCAAUUUGGACUUCUCCUGGGAUUCGUGAUAGGGCCAUUUGCAAGCAAAGCUCUGCUACAAUCCUAACUAUAAUUGCAAAGGUGUCAUAACAAAUAUUCAAACCAAUUUCCAUGGAAACCUCAAUUUCAUCUCUGAAUUUUAGCAUGUUUUAAGACAGCAGGAGUGGUAAAAAUCAUGUAGUGGUUGUAUGCAUGGAGAGAUGCUUAUUCUUUGCAUUAACUCUUUAUUGGCUCAAAUCUCUGUGUAUAUGAGAAAAUUAUGCAUGCAAAUUUAGAGACUUUUAAAAAAUGUUAUCUCCCCUGUAAAAUGCCUGAAUCAGAUUCACAUUUGGGUUUCCGUUCUCAUUUCCUCUCAGCAUAAAUAUGAGUCUGAGAGACACAACAGCUAAAUGAUUCCAAAGCAUAUAGCAAUUUUA
Long non-coding RNA from Alligator sinensis (Chinese alligator), 2353 nucleotides. RefSeq lists it as uncharacterized. The record is from RefSeq and is a predicted model, not a curated record. NCBI's taxonomy places the organism in Eukaryota, Metazoa, Chordata, Crocodylia, Alligatoridae. The transcript is spliced from 4 exons.